AAUAAAUAAAUGAAGAUAGAACCACAGACCUGUACUGACUAUUGAUGUUAGUUGUCGCUCUGAUA
This 65-nucleotide small nucleolar RNA is filed under the name Giardia duodenalis ATCC 50581. Its description in RNAcentral is "Giardia intestinalis ATCC 50581 snoRNA C/D-box, putative". The record is from RNAcentral. RNAcentral also lists the same sequence under 1 other name. Lineage: Eukaryota; Fornicata; Diplomonadida; Hexamitidae.